CCUACGGGCGGCUGUAGUGGGGAAUAUUGGACAAUGGGGGGAACCCUGAUCCAGCCAUGCCGCGUGUGUGAAGAAGGCCCUCGGGUUGUAAAGCACUUUCAGUGAGGAAGAACGCCUGGUGGUUAAUACCCAUCAGGAAAGACAUCACUCACAGAAGAAGCACCGGCUAACUCCGUGCCAGCAGCCGCGGUAAUACGGAGGGUGCGAGCGUUAAUCGGAAUUACUGGGCGUAAAGCGCGCGUAGGUGGCUUGAUAAGCCGGUUGUGAAAGCCCCGGGCUCAACCUGGGAACGGCAUCCGGAACUGUCAAGCUAGAGUGCAGGAGAGGAAGGUAGAAUUCCCGGUGUAGCGGUGAAAUGCGUAGAGAUCGGGAGGAAUACCAGUGGCGAAGGCGGCCUUCUGGACUGACACUGACACUGAGGUGCGAAAGCGUGGGUAGCAAACAGGAUUAGAUACCCGAGUAGUC
RNAcentral lists this ribosomal RNA (465 nucleotides) under Vreelandella stevensii. RNAcentral's name for it is "partial 16S ribosomal RNA". It matches the Rfam family "Bacterial small subunit ribosomal RNA", at positions 338 to 795 of the family's 1533-position model. The record is from RNAcentral. Lineage: Bacteria; Pseudomonadati; Pseudomonadota; Gammaproteobacteria; Oceanospirillales; Halomonadaceae.